RNAcentral lists this long non-coding RNA (237 nucleotides) under Elaeis guineensis (African oil palm). RNAcentral describes it as "long non-coding RNA (EGUI_LNC035305)". Lineage: Eukaryota; Viridiplantae; Streptophyta; Magnoliopsida; Arecales; Arecaceae. The record is from RNAcentral.
UGCAAUGGAGGAGCACUACAAUUACAACUGAAGUUCCCAUCCUCGACUCUGUGAUUGUUGAACUUUUUUCUAAUGAGUCUUCCUCAUAAUUCUAGUUCCGAUUCAAAUGGCUUACUGUCCUUGAAAAUAGAGAUUAUCAACCUAAUAUGUUGCAUUCUUGUUGAAAAAUAGAAAAAAUAGAAGAGAAGGUGAAGACGAGGAUUCAGAGGAAGAAGGAAUACUUGACCAAAAGGGCCC